Molecule: ribosomal RNA, 492 nt
Filed under: uncultured bacterium
Lineage: Bacteria
Description: partial 16S ribosomal RNA
Rfam family: Bacterial small subunit ribosomal RNA
Source: RNAcentral
AGUGAACGCUGGCGGUAGGCCUAACACAUGCAAGUCGAACGGCAGCACAGUAAGAGCUUGCUCUUACGGGUGGCGAGUGGCGGACGGGUGAGGAAUACAUCGGAAUCUACUUUUUCGUGGGGGAUAACGUAGGGAAACUUACGCUAAUACCGCAUACGACCUACGGGUGAAAGCAGGGGAUCUUCGGACCUUGCGCGAUUGUAUGAGCCGAUGUUGGAUUAGCUAGUUGGCGGGGUAAAGGCCCACCAAGGCGACGAUCCGUAGCUGGUCUGAGAGGAUGAUCAGCCACACUGGAACUGAGACACGGUCCAGACUCCUACGGGAGGCAGCAGUGGGGAAUAUUGGACAAUGGGCGCAAGCCUGAUCCAGCCAUACCGCGUGGGUGAAGAAGGCCUUCGGGUUGUAAAGCCCUUUUGUUGGGAAAGAAAAGCAGCAGGUUAACACCCCGCUGUUCUGACGGUACCCAAAGAAUAAGCACCGGCUAACUUCGUG